This 253-nucleotide ribosomal RNA is filed under the name uncultured bacterium. RNAcentral describes it as "partial 16S ribosomal RNA". It matches the Rfam family "Bacterial small subunit ribosomal RNA", at positions 524 to 776 of the family's 1533-position model. The record is from RNAcentral.
UACGGGGGGGGCGAGCGUUGUUCGGAUUUACUGGGCGUAAAGGGCGCGUAGGCGGCGCGGUAAGUCACUUGUGAAAUCUCUGAGCUUAACUCAGAACGGCCAAGUGAUACUGCAGUGCUAGAGUGUGGAAGGGGCAAUCGGAAUUCUUGGUGUAGCGGUGAAAUGCGUAGAUAUCAAGAGGAACACCUGAGGUGAAGACGGGUUGCUGGGCCAACACUGACGCUGAGGCGCGAAAGCCAGGGGAGCAAACGGG